GGUAGUGCAAUACUAUUAAUUCCCAGGCCAUGCUGUCAGCUCAUCAGUAGAGAGUUGAGUGGAGGUGAAGGGCAUGAGGACUAACGAGGUUAAUAUGAGUUCAACAGGUGAGCUGAUCAACCUUGCCAUGUACUGUGAGAGGAUAAGGAGGAAAUUUUGGCCAGAGUGGCACCACGAUGAUGACAAUACCAUCUAUGAGUCUGAGGAGAGCAGCGAAGGCAGCAAAACCCACACCCCGCUGCUGGAUUUUAGCUUUUACUCAAGGACAGAGACCUUUGAAGAUGAGGGAGCAGAAAACAGUUUUUCCAGAACCCCAGACACAGAUUUUACUGGACACUCACUCUUUGAUUCGGAUGUGGACAUGGAUGACUAUACAGACCACGAACAGUGCAAGUGACGUCCAGCCUCACUGACCCUCUUCCUUGGGACCUGCCACUCCCUGGGUCGGUCCAUUUUCCCAGGUAGCAAUCCAUCCGAGCUGGGAGGAGAUCUUCGUGCUUGGCACAGUUUUCACAUGCUAACUGGACUAUAGCAGCCUUAUUUCUUUUUUGUACAAACAAAACACAGAACCAUUCAGAUGACUCCAUUGAAAACAAACAGGCAAAAAAUAAUGUCAGCAUGGUUCCUGAAAUCCAUUUUUGUUUUCAUUAGAAAACUAUUAAUAAUAUUGUGUGGUAGAGCAGGUGUAAGAGCUGGUUGUCAGCUGAUAGUUUUUAUGAUGAUCCUCUUCAACCUUGAGGUCUUAAUUGUGAGAUGGAUUCUUGAACCUCCUUCCUCCACCAGGAUUUGAAGUAAUGAGAGAUAUCAUCAGAAAAAUGUUUUACGG
This 826-nucleotide small RNA is filed under the name Pan troglodytes (chimpanzee). RNAcentral's name for it is "processed transcript". Lineage: Eukaryota; Metazoa; Chordata; Mammalia; Primates; Hominidae. The record is from RNAcentral.